UACGGGGGGGGCAAGCGUUGUUCGGAAUUACUGGGCGUAAAGGGCGCGUAGGCGGCCUUCUAAGUCAGACGUGAAAUCCCCCGGCUUAACCUGGGAACUGCGUCUGAUACUGGGAGGCUUGAGUAUGGGAGAGGGAUGUAGAAUUCCAGGUGUAGCGGUGAAAUGCGUAGAUAUCUGGAGGAAUACCGGUGGCGAAGGCGGCAUCCUGGACCGACAUUGACGCUGAAAACCGAAAGCUAGGGGAGCAAACGGG
Molecule: ribosomal RNA, 253 nt
Filed under: uncultured bacterium
Lineage: Bacteria
Description: partial 16S ribosomal RNA
Rfam family: Bacterial small subunit ribosomal RNA
Source: RNAcentral